This 8354-nucleotide long non-coding RNA is filed under the name Gossypium barbadense (sea-island cotton). RNAcentral describes it as "long non-coding RNA (GBAR_LNC000123)". Lineage: Eukaryota; Viridiplantae; Streptophyta; Magnoliopsida; Malvales; Malvaceae. The record is from RNAcentral.
UUAAAUGAUUUAAUUUUUAUUAUGUGGAUAAGGUUGACGAAGACCUUUUCAAGUCAAUAUACAGCUCUUUAGUAUUACUAUUUUUAUCUCUAUCAAUCAUGCCUGAUUGUCUUGCAUGCCCUUUUUUUUAAUUUUUGUUUUUUCCUUUUAGUGUGAAUGCUUAAAAAUCACAGUAGCUAGUAGCAAGGAUAUGAAAGUAGAUAUUUUCGAAAUGAGUUAAAGAUGUGCAAAGAGAAAUUACAUCAUACUACACUUGUUCACACUAGCCAUCACUUUUAAGAUGUUGACUGCUAUUUAAUUGUUAAAUGAACAAACUCACUCAUGAAAUUGGACUGCACUUACCGACGUAGAGAUUUAAGAACCAAAUAGCAAAACAAAAAAGAACCAAAAUAAAUUAAAACAGUCCAUUAAACAGACCCAAAUAGACCUAAACCCCAUUUCAAUGAAAAAAACCAAAUAAAUCAAAUAACUCAAUGCCUAAAAGGCCCAAUGGCCCAAAACCUAGACCUAGGUUCAGCCUAACAGAAACCUAGGGUUUCCCUUGCGCCGCAGCUGGCCUCACAGCACCGUACAACCUCCAAUGCUUCAGCAGCCUCCAGUACACAGCCUCCGUACGCCCCAUGUCGAGUGCCACGUACCACCACAGCUGGCUCCGUACCCCGUACCUGCAAACCAAAACACGACAAUAGCACAAAAUAGCAAAAAGAAUGUAUUUUUCUUUUUUAUUUCGGCUAUAUAAAGCCAUACAAAAUUGUAUUGUUUUUUUUAGACACGAUCUAUUGAACACGCAUACUAAAAUACAAAAGCAACAAAAAAUCAAAAGGUGAUUUCGGAUUCGGUUCUUCUUUUCCAGUUGUUUUCUUCUUUGUUUUUUUUUUGGUUUUACAUACUGUGUAUUUGGAGUAUAAAAGAAAGAAAAGAAAAGUGAAGGCUUACCUUGCAAAUAUGCCACGAGAUUCCUUCUGCUUCGUUGAAAUCGAGGUAUGAGGGAUCCCAAAGCUGAAAAAACAAUCGCCGAGGCUCGAAUACACUGGUCGCCGACUGUUGUGGCGGAUCGACGUUUGAGCAAAAGGGAAUUAGCGUUCGGCCGAAUAUGGAAAAGGGAGUGUUUAGGUUUUUUUUUCCUAAAUGGCUUAGUUUUAGGGUUUUUUUUGGUUUUAACAAUGUAUAUGAAACGGCACCAUUUAGGGCCUGUUUCAGUGGCUCCAAAACGGUGCCGUCUAAGUCAACCCGUUUCGACCCGAUCCGAUUGCCCCCAGGAUCUGUGUGUUUUUGCGGAGAGGGGAUAUUUGUGCAUUGAGUCCUUCCUUUUCGCGUUGACGUUCAAUUGGAACCCAUUCAUAUUUUUCUUUUUCUUAAUUUAUUUCUGCAACUUGUGCGUAAAUCCAAUUUAGUCCGGCCUCAACGCUGCAUUUGGGAAUCUGGAAUAUUUCCAGUUUCGAUCCCUUUACAUUCGCACGCAUUAUGAUUUAGUCCCUAUUCUAUUUUUAAUGGCUUAUUUUAUUUAUUAAUUACUCCUUUAAGCUUCAUUUUAUUUCAAUUAAGUUUUUUUCAAUUUAUAUGAUUCAUUUUUAAAAGUUCACUUAGCUUUCAUCUUUUAAAUUUUUUUUUUGUUACAUUUUGAGUUACUUUGAUGAAUUUACUUUGUUUUUUUUUUGUUUUUUUAAUUUAUAAAAUUAUUAUUUUCAAAUUCUCUUUUAUAUCAUAUGAUUUUAAAUUUUUGUAUAAUCUUUAAUUUAAAUUACCCUCAUAUUAAUAUAUAUUUAUAUAUAAGUUUAUGUAAAAGUUAGUUGUAUUCUAUGAAUAUUAUUAAUCCCAUGUUAACUUAUUUAUAAAUUCUUUUAAAUCUAUCUGUGUAUAUUUUAUCUUUAUGUACAUAAUUCAUUUUUUUAAAGAACAUAUUUUAUUACAUAUUGUUGUGAUUUAAAAUUUCACAUGUUUAUAUACUAUUUUUUAUAUGCAUAUACAUUGUCCACUUUAAAUGGAUGUAUCAUUUUUAAAAUGUUUUUGUACAUUAUUUGACUCAAAUUUCUUCUUUCAUAAUAUUUAUUUUAAUAAUUAUUUAUAUAUUUGUAGUUUAAUUUUUUUUACAUGUAAAUUAUUUAAAAUUAUGGCAUGUGUUAUACUCGUAAUUUCUCACGUGUUUUUAAUUGUUUUGUACCAUAUCCUAGUGUCCAUAUUGUUUUGUAUAUAAUGUGUGUUUUGUUGGCUUUUUCCAUAUUGUUUUAUAGAUUAUUAUAUCAUAUUUUCAAUUGGUAUUUGGUGUUGUUAUCUUAAUUUUAUUUAUCUAUGUUUGAAAACUUGUUAUAGUUUUUAUUUUGAUUUGUUUCUUUAGUUAUAUUUUUAGUUUUCACUAUUUUGAUCAUUAAUGUUUGGAUGUGAGUUUAAUGUUAUUUUGUCCAUGUUAAUUCUUUUAUUUAUUUAUUUUUAUACUAUUUUCAUUCAUUAAUAGAGUUCGCUAUCCAUGUAUAUUGUCUCAUGUUUAUAAUUUUGUCUUUCAUUCGCAAUUGUCGCAUUGUAAUUUGUAACUUAUUGAUCCAAAAUUAAUGAUUCCAUUUUAUUUCAAGUCGAAUUAAUGUAUUUUGAGUCGACUUUUUAAAAACAAAGGCGAUAUUUGACGUUUGGAAAUUCGGGAAAUCCUGCCCUAACGUGCUGGGUUUCGAUUUUCUGUUUGUCCAAAUGAUCAAAUAUCCCUUUAAAAUUUCGUCCACGUUUUCUAAACUUUAAAAAAAAGGUGAUGUUUGAUACUUAAAAAUUCGGGAAAUCAAGCCCUAACGUGCUAGGUUUCGAUUUUCUGUUUGUCCAAAUGAUCAAAUAUCCCUUCAAAAUUUCGUCCGUAUUCUCUAAACUUCACAACAAGGCAAUAUUCUAUGUUUGGAAACUCGAGAAAUCCUGCCCUAACGUGUAAUACCCCCUACCCAUAUUCAUUGCCGGAAUAGGGUACGAGGUAUUACCGGAGUUUACGAUUUUUUUUUAUAUUCAAUAUAGCCCCUUUAUAAAUAUCUAACCUUCCCUGCAAUAUUAAAUUGAGGCCAAUCCACAUCAACCAAACCAAUUCAACAUAUUUUCAAGAUAAAUUCAUGCAUAUUUAUAAGAUAACGUCAUCACAUACCCAAAACCAGGUUUGUUAACUAUACUAAUGGCUAACUUUACAUUCAUUUCACGUUAACAUUUACUUUAUUAGCUUAUACAUGCCAUUGAUUUCCAAAAUAAAGUUUCUUUAUAUACCGAAAUCCUGAGGUUGAUAGUGUGAUGUGUCUCCGACCAAAUCUGACCUCCGAGCUCUUAACACUACAAAACAGGGGAAAAUGAAACAGGGUAAGCACUUUGUGCUUAGUAAGCUCAUGUAACAAGAAUUAUACUUACCUAAUAUUUUCAAUACAAUACAAUAAACAUUCAUAUAUCCAUUCAAUGCAUUAUUACCCUAACAUGCACAAACUCAACAUUCAAGUUAGUACAAUAAUUUCCAUGUACCAAUAAUAUAUACUAUGAUUGAUGAGCUCAUCAAUACCAUAAUUUUCAUUUCCUUAUAUAUAUAUAUAUAUUUUUUCAUAUUUAUCCCGUUGAAUUUCUUGGAAUUUUCGAUGGAUUUUCAGAGGUACACUUUUAGUGUACAUUUCCAGGUCCGUCAAUUCAUAUUCAUGUGCGCACAUUUCCAUUUCAGAGAGCACACUCCUGCGAACCUCAUCCUUACAGCGGGAUUACCAGUCCAGGCUAAAUCCCCUGUAAUAUAAACUCAUAGAGUAUUGUCGGGAUUACCAGUCCAGGCUAAAUCCCCUGCAAACGACAAUUACUCUAAUGAGCUUGGAUCUGAAUUACCAGUCCAGGCUAAUUUCAGACCCUAAUUCGGAUUACCCGUCCGGGCUAAAUCUAUUUUCCACAUAUUCUUCGGGAGGGCUAUAUCAGGAUAGGAUCACCCGUCUGGGCUAGAUCUUUUUUACCGUCAAUUCCUUUUCAGAGAUCCAUCAAAUUUUCCUUUCAUUCAACCGGGAUUUCUUCCCCUUUUAUCAAAUAUAUCAAUUUUUCAUAAAUUUCCAUAUAAUGAACAUUCAAAUCAUAUUCAUAUCAAAAACAUGCAUUUCAAGCAUUUAAGAAUAUAAUUCAAGUUACACGAACUUACCUUGAUACUUGUUCGUGUACAAAAAUCUACUAAUCCUGAACUUUUUCCUUUCCUCGAUCUAGCUCCGUAUUUGAAUCUUCUGGAUCUAAAUAAAUAAAUUUAAUUAUCAAUUUAAUACAUUUCAUGUUUAUAUGCAACAAUUUCUAUAAUUUCAUUAUUAUUAUUUAUAGUUUAUUCAAAGCUGUCUAUUUGAGUCAUAGUCACUAAAUUAUUUAUAAAUCAAGCUACGGAACUCCAAAUUAAGAUCCGUUAAUUUUCCCUGAAACUAGACUCAUAUAUCUUCUUACAAUAAAAUUUUCAAAAUUUUUGGUUUAGCCAAUAAGUACAGUUUAUUCUUUAAUGUCACCCCUGUUCUGCUGUCUGAUAGUUCUGACCCUUCUUCACUAAAAAUUAAUUAUCUCUUCAUAUAGAAUUCAGAUGAUGUUCCCGUUUGUUUCUCUUGAAAAUAGACUCAUUCAGGAUUCUAUGCAUAUAAAUUUAAGCCCAUAAUUAUUUUUAUUCAAUUUUUUAUGAUUUCUCAAAGUUAGUCUACUGCUGCUGUCCAAUAUUUUUUUAGUGCAAGCUGUUUAUUACCAUUUUUCCCCUAAGCUUUUAAUAAAUAACAAUUUCGUCCCUACUCAAUUAGCCUCUCAAUUGAGCUUAUUUUUCUUAAUUAACACUUUAUUCUAUCACCUUAAACUAGUUUACAACUUUUAGGAAUCAAAAUUUCAGCAAUAGACUUUAAUUCCAAACAUUUUCACAAUUAGGUCCUAAAAAUCAAUUUCUAUUGAAAUUACCUAAUAAAAUCAUCUCAUAAACAAAUUAAAGCUUUAAUUUCAUUCUAUCUCAUCAUAAACUUACAGCACUCAACCUUGGUGACUUUCAAUUUCAUCCAUGCAAUCAAAAACUAAUGAAUUUAAUAGUAGGACCUAGUUGUAAAAGUCUUAGAAACACAAAAAUUACAAGAAAAAGGCAAGGAUUAACUCACUUGGUGCACAAAUUAUGGAAUACCAGCUUAGAGAACCCUCCUAUGGCGUUUUUAGCUACUGGAAUUGAAGAGAAAUGAAGAGAAAUCUAGAUAUUUCCUAUUUAGUCCUAGUUUUAUUUAGUUAAUUUUGCAAUAUUCCAAUUUUGCCCUUAAUUUAUCAAUUUUCCUGCUGAUUUCAUGCCCUUGCCCGUCCAGUCCAUAUAAAUUUUGGGUCUAAUUUCCUUUUAAAUCCUCUCUCAUUAGACACUUAAGCUAUUUAAUCAUCCCAUCCACUUUUACACCUUUUACAAUUUAGUCCUUUUCAUUUAAUUAACUAUCCAAACAUUAAAAUUUCCUAACAAAAUUUUAAUACCACAUUACUAACAUUUCAUAAAUAUUUAUAAAAUUAUUUUUAACUCGUUUUUACGAGAUAAAGAUCCCGAUACCUUAUUUUACCCAAUUUAUUCAAUAAUUUCUUUUUCUAACUAACCACUAAAUCGGUAAAAUUUUUCUAUCAAUAUUUUCAUACGAUUUUCCUAUCAUAUCAAUUUUCAUGCAAAAAUAUUGAAAUAAAUUUCUCUUUAAAUCAGAUUUGUGGUUACAAAACCACUGUUUCGAUAACCUUGAAUUUAGGUCAUUACGUAACGUGUUGGGUUUCAGUUUUUCGUUGGACCAAAUAAUCGAAUAUCCUUUUGUAAUUUUCAAAUGUAUGAGUUUUUGGAAAUCAAGAAUUGAUCAUAGUUUUGAGGGUUUAAAGGAUCUUGUCCUAACGUGCUGGAUGUGAUACUGUAUUCCUUUGAAACAAAAGAGUUUUAAUGUCUAAUUCGUGUCAUUCGAAUGUUUUAAAAUAAAUCUAUUUUAAAAUAUUUUUUAAAUCUUAGGCAUAAUGACAUUAUUUAAUCAAUUUGGUACCAAUUUGGGGCGUAACGAGGGUGCUAAUCCUACCUCGUACGCAAUCGACUCCCGAACCCAUUUUCUUAAAUUGUGUAGGCCAAAAUUGAUGUUUUAAUAAAAUAAAGUGUUUUAUUAGGUGACCCGAUCACACCUAAACAAAAAGGAUUGGUGGCGACUCCAUACCUCGUUUUAAAGUCGAUCCCCAUUUUUUUUAAUUAAUAAAAAUGGUUUCGACACACUCCACCGCUCAUGUAAAUACAUCAUUACUAGCAUAGAUACAAGAAUUCGUAUGGUCGAUACAAUUAAAUUAAUUCCCUGCUAAAAGAAUAAAAAUGACUGUCUAUCGAUUGCAAUGUUGCUGAUAUUUCAGUAACUUGAUUUAUUUAUAAUAAUAUGAAUUUUGGCUGAGAAAAAAAAUCUUUUAAAUGAUUUAAUUUUUAUUAUGUGGAUGAGGUUGACGAAGACCAUUUCAAGUCAAUAUACAGCUCUCUAGUAUUACUAUUUUUAUCUCUAUCAAUCAUGCAUUAUUGUCUUGCAUGCCCUUUUUUUAAUUUUUGUUUUUCCUUUUAGUGUGAAUGCUUAAAAAUCACAGUAGCUAGUAGCAAGGAUAUGAAAGUAGAUAUUUUUGAAAUGAGUUAAAGAUGUGCAAAGAGAAAUUACAUCAUACUACACUUGUUCACACUAGCCAUCACUUUUAAGAUGUUGACUGCUAUUUCCUCCUAAUUAAUUGUUAAAUGAACAAACUCACUCAAGAAAUUGAAAUGCACUUACCGACGUAGAGAUUUAAGAACCAAAUAGCAAAACAAAAAAAAAACCAAAAUAAAUUAAAACAGUCCAUUAAACAGACCCAAAUAGACCCAAACCCCAUUACAAUGAAAAAAAAACCAAACAAAUCAAAUAACCCAAUGCCUAAAAGGCCCAAAACCUAGACCCAGGUUCAGCCAAAUAGAAACCUAGGGUUUCCCUUGCGCCGCAGCUGGCCUCCCAGCACCGUACAACCUCCAGCGCUUCAGCAGCCUCCAGCACACAGCCUCCGUACGCCCCACGCCGAGUGCCACGUACCACCACAGCUGGCCCCAUACCCCGUACCUGCAAACCAAAACACGACAGCGGUACAAAAUAGCAAAAAGAAUGUAUUUUUCUUUUUUAUUUCAGCUAUAUAAAGCCAUACAAAAUUAAUGUAUUGUUUUUUUUUUAGACACAAUUUAUUGAAAACGCAUACUGAAUUACAAAAGCAACCAAAAAUCAAAAGGUGAUUUCAGAUUCAGUUAUUCUUUUCCAGUUGUUUUCUUCUUUUUUUUUUUUGGUUUUACAUACUGUGUAUUUGGAGUAUAAAAGAAAAGAAAAGAAAAGUGAAGGCUUACCUUGCAAAUAUGCCAUGAGAUUCCUUCUGCUUCGUUGAAAUCGAGGUAUGAGGAGAUACCAAAGAUGAAAAAACAACCGUCGAGGCUCGAAUACACUGGUUGCCGACUGUUAUGGCGGAUCGGCGUUUGAGCAAAAGGCGAUUAGGGUUCGGCCGAAUAUGGAAAAGGGAGUGUUUAGUUUUUUUUUCUGAAAUGGCUAAGGGUAUUAGUUUUAGGUUUUUUUUUGGUUUUUGGGUAUUAGUUUUAGGGUUUUUAGUUUUUUUGUCCUGCUUCAGUGGCUCUAAAAUGGUGUCGUCUAAGCCAACCCGUUUCGACUCGACCCGAUUGCCCCCAGGAUCCGAAUGUUUCUGCGGAGAGGGGAUAUUUGUGCAUUGAGUCCUUCUUUUUCGCGUUGACGUUCAAUUGGACCCUAUUCAUAUUUUUCUUUUUCUUAAUCUAUUUUUGCAACUUGUGCAUAAAUCCAAUUUAGUCCGUGCCUCAACGCUGCGUUUGGGAAUCUGGAAUAUUUCCAGUUUCGAUCCCUACGCAUUCGCGCGCAUUAUGAUUUAGUCCCUAUUCUAUUUUUAAUGGCUUAUUUUAUUUAUUAAUUACUCCUUUAAGCUUCAUUUUAUUUCAAUUAAGUAUUUUUUCAAUUAAUAUGAUUUAUUUUUAAAAGUUCAUUUAGCUUUCAUCUUUUAAAUUUUUUUUAUAUACAUUUUGAGUUACUUUGAUGAAUUUACUUUGUUUUUUUUUUAGUUUUUUUUAAUUUAUAAAAUUAUUUUUUUCAAAUUCUCUUUUAUAUCAUAUGAUUUUAAAUUUUUGUAUAAUCUUUAAUUUAAAUUACCCUCAUAUUAAUACAUAUAUAUAUAUAAAAGUUUAUGUAAAAGUUAGUUGUGUUCUAUGAAUAUUAUUAAUCCCAUGUUAACUUAUUUAUAAAUUCCCAUGUUAACUUAUUUAUAACUUCUUUUAAAUCUAUUUAUGUAUAUUUUAUCUUUAUGUACAUAAUUCAUUUUUUUAAAGAACAUAUUUUAUUACAUAUUUUUGUGAUUUA